ACAGGAAGAAUGUGUCUCUACAAAAAA
This 27-nucleotide non-coding RNA is filed under the name Homo sapiens (human). Lineage: Eukaryota; Metazoa; Chordata; Mammalia; Primates; Hominidae. The record is from RNAcentral.